Molecule: ribosomal RNA, 329 nt
Filed under: uncultured eukaryote
Lineage: Eukaryota
Description: partial 18S ribosomal RNA
Rfam family: Eukaryotic small subunit ribosomal RNA
Source: RNAcentral
CCCUUAGAUGUCCUGGGCCGCACGCGCGCUACACUGAGUGUCUGAGAUACGAGUCUGCCUGGUCCGGCAAGGUCUAGGUAAUCGCUAAAAGACACAUCAUGCUUGGGAUAGAUUAUUGCAAAUAUUAAUCUUGAACGAGGGAUUCCCAGUAAGCGCAAGUCAACAGCUUGCGUUGAUUACGUCCCUGCCCUUUGUACACACCGCCCGUCGCUACUACUGAUUGGAUGUUUAAGCGAGGUUCUCGAACUGCUAGCGACUUAGCUUCGGUGAGGUCGCAGUGUGGGAAGUGAACCUAGCUUUGGUGUCUAGAGGAAGUAAAAGUCGUAACA